UUACAAUAGACAACUUUCGAGUUCGAUGCAUUUCCGUCAAAAACUCUGGUUUUAGUGAACGUCAUUUGUGCGUUUAGGGGCGUCGUCACUUCCGUUUCAAUGUUGAGCGAGUGGUUGGAAAACUAUAAUUCUAUAUUGUACGAAUUAUUCAGCAAAUUAAAUUCUCAAAAUUGACAAUCAGCACUGCUGUCAUUAGGGAAUUGUCAUUAAGUACCUACAGAACAACCAUUAUUUCUAGUUUAUCCUGCACAAAACGAUCACUAAGACGCUUGAUGAACGUAAAUAGUGCAGGGAUACAGGCGAUCCCCUCUAUCUGGUAAAUGACGUCAUAAAGGCGCACAUAAUUGACGAGUUUUUGCCGGUGACGGAUGAACUCGAAAGUGGUCUAUUGCAGUUACGUUACUACAAAAAGAGGGGUUAUAUUUCACUUGAUUUUAAAAAACAUGUAAUACGAAUAAAGUAGAUUGAUAUGAUUGGUUUGCCUUAGCUAAAUGUCCCCUGCCACUACCUGUGUAAUUG
RNAcentral lists this long non-coding RNA (519 nucleotides) under Mytilus galloprovincialis (Mediterranean mussel). Lineage: Eukaryota; Metazoa; Mollusca; Bivalvia; Mytilida; Mytilidae. The record is from RNAcentral.